GGCGCUCGACCUUGUGCGUGAUCUGCUCUCAUCUUGAGCCAACACACCCUGAUCGGGAGGCAGGUUUGUCCGGUCGACAUAUGCCCGUUUGGAUAUGUUUUCCGGGGGCUGCCACCCACCUGCUACGGCAGGUUCAAGAUCACACAGACACGGCAAGGUGGAGCACUU
This 168-nucleotide non-coding RNA is filed under the name Actinomycetota bacterium. RNAcentral describes it as "Actinobacteria bacterium 6S RNA". It matches the Rfam family "6S / SsrS RNA". From Rfam's summary of the family: E. coli 6S RNA was the first non coding RNA to be sequenced, but its function was unknown until recently. It consists of 184 nucleotides that fold into an extended hairpin structure with a large single-stranded internal bulge. Lineage: Bacteria; Bacillati; Actinomycetota. The record is from RNAcentral.